UGGUGGUCACAGCUCUCCUAGUUCAGUCUGGUCGUGGUUAUCUAUAGAAUGGUGGUCACAGCUCUCCUAGUUCAGUCUGGUCAUGGUUAUCUAUAGAAUGGUGGUCACAGCUCUCCUAGUUCAGUCUGGUCAUGGUUAUCUAUAGAAUGGUGGUCACAGCUCUCCUAGUUCAGUCUGGUCGUGGUUAUCUAUAGAAUGGUGGUCACAGCUCUCCUAGUUCAGUCUGGUCAUGGUUAUCUAUAGAAUGGUGGUCACAGCUCUCCUAGUUCAGUCUGGUCAUCUAUAGAAUGGCUCAGCUGUGACACAUCCUGUAGCACAGUAGCUGCCUGGUUGACCAUAAGUGCAUCCCAAAACUUCACUGUGUAGUAAAGGGCUUUGUCCCAAAUGGCACCCUAUUCUCUAUGUAGUGCACUACAUUUGAGCAGGGCCCAUAGGGAAUAGGGUGCCAUUUGACCAGGGCCCGUAGGGAAUAGGGUGCCAUUUGACCAGGGCCCAUAGGGAAUAGGGUGCCAUUUGACCAGGGCCCAUAGGGAAUAGGGUGCCAUUUGACCAGAGCCCAUAGGGAAUAGGGUGCCAUUUGACCAGGGCCUAUAGGGAAUAGGGUGCCAUUUGACCAGGGCCCAUAGGGAAUAGGGUGCCAUUUUGGACACAACCAUAUCCACCCUCUAGGGCACAUGCCUAAUCUAUGACCUUUAACCCUGACCCCUCUCAACCCUGACCCCUCUAAACACACACACUCCCGGCUUAUCACCCCAAAACUCAAAUAUCCAAACGACUGUUGACAAUCAACGUGCACUGGGAAGUAAUGUUGUUUUUAUAUGCACCCACUCUUCAGACUCCUGUACUGAACCUCUCUAGAUCCAUUUGUCUUUAAGAUCUGUUGUAUGCUGACUCAGCCUAGCUCAACAAGACUAGCUUUCUUGUGUCCCAAAUGGCACCUACUCAACAUUAUAGUGCACUACUAUUAACCGGGUCCCAUAGGGGGUCCCAAAUGGCUCCCAUAGGGCUCUGGUCAAAAGUAGUGUACUAUAUAGAAAAUAGGGUGCCGUUUGUGACACGACCUAGUAGCGAUGUAGGAUGAGGGUACAAGGAGGAGUGAGCCACCACGGCGUCCAGAAUUAUUUGUAAGUAGGAGGGGUUGUGUGGUCAUCCUAUGGGUUGGUGUUGACGUCAAAUCCAUAAGAACCAACCAUUGUCUCAACCCUCCUUCGAGGUUAAAACUUAUAUGAUAUGUUCAACCUUCAAUAUCUUGAAUAUUAAGUUUUUUAAAAAAUUCAUUCGGUUUUUUGAAUUUCCCAAGAAAGAGUGAAUCUUAACUGUUAAGUGCUGUGAUUAUUUGUGUUUUAUAUCAACAAACAAAACAAUUCGCUGCAGCUAAUUCUUAACUUGUUAACUUUCUAAGCGAAAAAAAAACUUUUGUAUACUUUUGUAAAAAAACAAAACAAAUGUAACAAUGAAGUCCGAAAACAUGAUUUUUAUUUUUAUUUUUUAAAGAUCGCUUUUUAAAUGUUGUGACAUGCUUUUUGGUUUUUACCAAUUUAAGUCCGCUGUGUCGUUCUCAGUUCAAGGGCUGUUUUUGAUAUUUGAUAAUUCUGUAUAUGGAGUAAAAAUGCAUGUCCCAGCAUUCCUGAAAUCUGUGUUUGAAUGUAAAUGAAUUGAGAGGAAAAAACACAAUGUCUCUUUUUUUAAAUACUAUAUAAACUGAAACAUUGUGAACUUCCAUCUAACUCCUGCUCUGUUGAAUUGGGACUCUCUUUAGCAUUGCCUUCACAUCACAUCAUUCUAGAACACAUCAUUAGAGCUCUCAGAACCAUCUUCAGAUAUCACAUCACAUCAUUCUAGAACACAUCAUUAGAGCUCUCAGAACCAUCUUCAGAUAUCACAUCAUUCUAGAACACGUCAUUAGAGCUCUCAGAACUGUCUCAAGGAUUCCACAUCGGUCGGGGCGGUGUGUUUUUUGAAGGAAGGCUCAGUCUAAAUGUAGCAGACCUGUCUGUCCAAAAUGGCACCCUAUACCCUAUGUAGUGCACUACUUUUGACCAGUGCUCUAUGUUCCCUGGUCAAAAGUAGUAUAUAAGAUAUCGAGCCAUUUGGGAUGCAGGCGGCAUUAUGAGACGCUUCUGAGAGCCCUGCACAGUUUUCGAACAGCGUGAAACACAAGGGGAAAGAGAGGGGGAACGAGGGACAUAUUUGUUUGUCUAGUGCAAUAUGCUGUACAUAAAGAGCUUGGCUCUACAAAAUCCACAAAUCUUACAUUUUUCUCUAAUGAAAUGUAAUUUUCUUGUUCAAUGGGUACAUUGCUGUCUUUUUCAUUAAAAUGUUCUGAAAGUUUCAAAA
This 2337-nucleotide long non-coding RNA is filed under the name Salmo salar (Atlantic salmon). Its description in RNAcentral is "lncRNA (ENSSSAG00000093011.1)". The record is from RNAcentral. Lineage: Eukaryota; Metazoa; Chordata; Actinopteri; Salmoniformes; Salmonidae.